UACGGCCACAUCAUGUUGAAACACCGAUUCUCGUACGAUCAUUGAUGUUAGGCAACGUCGCGCCUGGUCAGUACCUAGACGGUUGACCGCUUGUGAAUACCAGGUGCUGCAAU
Molecule: non-coding RNA, 113 nt
Organism: Acanthosepion pharaonis
Lineage: Eukaryota; Metazoa; Mollusca; Cephalopoda; Sepiida; Sepiidae
Source: the annotation of a GenBank genome assembly